GGGGAAUAUUGCACAAUGGGCGCAAGCCUGAUGCAGCAACGCCGCGUGAGGGAUGACGGCCUUCGGGUUGUAAACCUCUUUUAGUAGGGAAGAAGCGAAAGUGACGGUACCUGCAGAAAAAGCACCGGCUAACUACGUGCCAGCAGCCGCGGUAAUACGUAGGGUGCGAGCGUUGUCCGGAAUUAUUGGGCGUAAAGAGCUUGUAGGCGGUUUGUCGCGUCUGCCGUGAAAAUCCGGGGCUCAACUCCGGACUUGCGGCGGGUACGGGCAGACUAGAGUGUGGUAGGGGAGACUGGAAUUCCUGGUGUAGCGGUGAAAUGCGCAGAUAUCAGGAGGAACACCGAUGGCGAAGGCAGGUCUCUGGGCCACGACUGACGCUGAGAAGCGAAAGCGUGGGGAGCGAAC
This 405-nucleotide ribosomal RNA is filed under the name uncultured bacterium. RNAcentral describes it as "bacterial SSU rRNA". It matches the Rfam family "Bacterial small subunit ribosomal RNA", at positions 356 to 773 of the family's 1533-position model. The record is from RNAcentral.